RNAcentral lists this ribosomal RNA (860 nucleotides) under Staphylococcus sp. RNAcentral's name for it is "bacterial SSU rRNA". It matches the Rfam family "Bacterial small subunit ribosomal RNA", at positions 61 to 902 of the family's 1533-position model. The record is from RNAcentral. Lineage: Bacteria; Bacillati; Bacillota; Bacilli; Caryophanales; Staphylococcaceae.
GUCGAGCGAACAGACGAGGAGCUUGCUCCUCUGACGUUAGCGGCGGACGGGUGAGUAACACGUGGAUAACCUACCUAUAAGACUGGGAUAACUUCGGGAAACCGGAGCUAAUACCGGAUAAUAUAUUGAACCGCAUGGUUCAAUAGUGAAAGACGGUUUUGCUGUCACUUAUAGAUGGAUCCGCGCCGCAUUAGCUAGUUGGUAAGGUAACGGCUUACCAAGGCAACGAUGCGUAGCCGACCUGAGAGGGUGAUCGGCCACACUGGAACUGAGACACGGUCCAGACUCCUACGGGAGGCAGCAGUAGGGAAUCUUCCGCAAUGGGCGAAAGCCUGACGGAGCAACGCCGCGUGAGUGAUGAAGGUCUUCGGAUCGUAAAACUCUGUUAUUAGGGAAGAACAAAUGUGUAAGUAACUAUGCACGUCUUGACGGUACCUAAUCAGAAAGCCACGGCUAACUACGUGCCAGCAGCCGCGGUAAUACGUAGGUGGCAAGCGUUAUCCGGAAUUAUUGGGCGUAAAGCGCGCGUAGGCGGUUUUUUAAGUCUGAUGUGAAAGCCCACGGCUCAACCGUGGAGGGUCAUUGGAAACUGGAAAACUUGAGUGCAGAAGAGGAAAGUGGAAUUCCAUGUGUAGCGGUGAAAUGCGCAGAGAUAUGGAGGAACACCAGUGGCGAAGGCGACUUUCUGGUCUGUAACUGACGCUGAUGUGCGAAAGCGUGGGGAUCAAACAGGAUUAGAUACCCUGGGAGUCCACGCCGUAUACGAUGAGUGCUAAGUGUUAGGGGGUUUCCGCCCCUUAGUGCUGCAGCUAACGCAUUAAGCACUCCGCCUGGGGAGUACGACCGCAAGGUUGAGACUC